RNAcentral lists this ribosomal RNA (684 nucleotides) under uncultured Actinomycetes bacterium. RNAcentral's name for it is "bacterial SSU rRNA". It matches the Rfam family "Bacterial small subunit ribosomal RNA", at positions 74 to 774 of the family's 1533-position model. The record is from RNAcentral. Lineage: Bacteria; Bacillati; Actinomycetota; Actinomycetes.
GCACCUUCGGGUGUGAAUUAGCGGCGAACGGGUGAGGAACACGUGAAGAAUCUGCCUUCAACUCUGGGAUAACUCCGGGAAACCGGGGCUAAUACCGGAUAUGAGCCUUGAUCGCAUGAUUGGGGCUGGAAAGUUUUUCGGUUGAAGAUGACUUCGCGGCCUAUCAGCUUGUUGGUGAGGUAAUGGCUCACCAAGGCGACGACGGGUAGCCGGCCUGAGAGGGCGACCGGCCACACUGGGACUGAGACACGGCCCAGACUCCUACGGGAGGCAGCAGUGGGGAAUAUUGGGCAAUGGAGGAAACUCUGACCCAGCGACGCCGCGUGAGGGAUGAAGGCCUUCGGGUUGUAAACCUCUUUCAGUAGGGAAGAAGCGAAAGUGACGGUACCUACAGAAGAAGCACCGGCUAACUAUGUGCCAGCAGCCGCGGUAAUACAUAGGGUGCAAGCGUUGUCCGGAAUUAUUGGGCGUAAAGAGCUCGUAGGUGGUUCGAUACGUCGGAUGUGAAAAUCAGGGGCUCAACCCCUGACCUGCAUCCGAUACGGUCGAGCUAGAGUUUGGUAGGGGAGACUGGAAUUCCUGGUGUAGCGGUGGAAUGCGCAGAUAUCAGGAGGAACACCGAUGGCGAAGGCAGGUCUCUGGGCCAAUACUGACACUGAGGAGCGAAAGCGUGGGGAGCGAACA